This is a long non-coding RNA of Phyllostomus discolor (pale spear-nosed bat), 856 nucleotides long. RefSeq lists it as uncharacterized. NCBI's taxonomy places the organism in Eukaryota, Metazoa, Chordata, Mammalia, Chiroptera, Phyllostomidae. The record is from RefSeq and is a predicted model, not a curated record. The transcript is spliced from 2 exons.
UCUCCUUUGAAACAAUACUAAAAUCAACCAAUCCGAGCGCUUGCCAGUCAAGGUCUAUGGCUGCCCUUUCCUCUUGACUAGGUCGACCAGCUCUGUGUUGGCCAACGUCACUCCAGCGGGAACUGUGUUCUGUGGAGUCCGGUUAUUUCCGGCCACAGUAGAGCCCAGCCCGCCUUUCUGGCCGCUACCCAAUUACUUUGGGGUGUUGAUAGUGAUCGGCAGUAGCGCUAGCCACCAAGGGUUUUUGCUUGUCCGGGUCGUGCGCAGGCUUGUUCUUCAUUAAACUUUUCCAGUACCCGGAUUCCAGAUUGGACAACUCCAGAGUUGCUGGAGCGGAAGGUUGGAGCACCCCUUCCGCGGUCACGUGGGUUCUGUUAGGCACCAGCUGGAACUCUCCGUGGCUCCCACUUCCCGGGACAUCGCAGGACCCGAUGACCCGCUUUCCCGCCUGAGAGUGGAGAAAUGCAGGUGCGCUUCUGUCUUGUCACUUUCUGGCAAUCAGAGUAUCUUCACUUAGAGGUACACUAGUGACCGUAGGUUCCGACAGAUUCCGUGGUUUGGUUUUAAUCAAAGGGGUAAAACAGAGAUGGCUUUGGAGUAUUGGAACUGAUUAGCUCUGUUCGCUGGUGGGGUCCUGCAUUCCUUAUUUGAGUUUUGUAAGCAAGAAGACAUAGAAUGAUUUUAACGGAUGGUUACUUUUGGUUAUCCAGGGCUUGGAAUUCGAUAAUGAAUUAAGUAAAAUAAUUUCCUUCUUUCUGCUGUCAUGUUUUUCUAACUUUCACCACAUAUGGGGAAGGGGAUAGGGAAGCUGGAGUAAUGUGUUUAUUCUACUUGUUACCAUGGUAAACAAACAAAA